RNAcentral lists this ribosomal RNA (482 nucleotides) under Starmerella etchellsii. Its description in RNAcentral is "eukaryotic LSU rRNA". It matches the Rfam family "Eukaryotic large subunit ribosomal RNA", at positions 62 to 648 of the family's 3401-position model. The record is from RNAcentral. Lineage: Eukaryota; Fungi; Ascomycota; Dipodascomycetes; Dipodascales; Trichomonascaceae. RNAcentral also lists the same sequence under 1 other name.
AAACCAACAGGGAUUGCCCUAGUAACGGCGAGUGAACAGGCAAGAGCUCAGAUUUGAAAGCCUUUUUGGCAUUGUAUUCUGAAGUCAGUUUCCUGAGUAUCGGUGUUUAAGUCUUCUGGAAAGGAGCGCCAUGGAGGGUGAUAGCCCCGUACGACACCUCACUCAUUGUAGGAUUCUGACGUGGAGUCGAGUUGUUUGGGAAUGCAGCUCAAAAGGGUGGUAUGCUCCAUCUAAAGCUAAAUAUCUGUGAGAGACCGAUAGCGAACAAGUACUGUGAAGGAAAGAUGAAAAGAACUUUGAAAAGAGAGUGAAAAAGUACGUGAAAUUGUUGAAAUGGAAGGAUAUGCCGCUAACAAUGUAGAGCCGUGUUUGGGGGGAAGACAAAAGCUGAAGAAUGUAUCUCUUUUAGGGAAUUAUAACUUCAGUCAAUAUUCCCAUCCGGGCGCGAGGACCUCAGGCUCUACUAAAUGGUGGUCUAUCAC